GGAUCCAUGGUGGAAUGGUAGAGCGUCUGACUCCAGAUCAGAAGGUUGCAUGUUCGAUUGACGUCGGGUUCA
Non-coding RNA from Picea glauca (white spruce), 72 nucleotides. NCBI's taxonomy places the organism in Eukaryota, Viridiplantae, Streptophyta, Pinopsida, Pinales, Pinaceae. The record is from Rfam.